Molecule: long non-coding RNA, 7853 nt
Filed under: Equus caballus (horse)
Lineage: Eukaryota; Metazoa; Chordata; Mammalia; Perissodactyla; Equidae
Description: lncRNA (ENSECAG00000053548.1)
Source: RNAcentral
CCAGCCCAGACUAUCCCCACCGCCGGGCCGCCAGCCUGGCUGCUGUCUCUCCGGGAGCCGCUGCCAAGCCGUCAGCUCCUUUCAUCGCCCCAAGGCAGCCAGAGGGAGCGCCAGCAGCAGCCUUGGCACACGCCCGCUCCGGCCACUCCCGGCGUGUUCUCAGACACAGACGCCAGCCCAGCGGGGCGGGCACCCAGCUCCGAGCCCACGGCUGCAACAAGGAAGGGUCACUGGGGGACCCAGCCCCCUCAUUACACGUCAGGAAACCUGGGCUGGGGAUCAGCCAGGCCUCCUUUGAAACUGUCUAGCCAAAUCAGCCCGUCAGAGUGGCGAUCAGAUGUCCAUGGGAGGCGGUUCCCUCUGCUGGAAUGUUCUCCAUCCCUCCCCCACCGGCCAGCCCCUCAGGGCUCAGCGAGGGCAGGCCCUUCCUCAGAGGCCCUGACCUUCACCCAGGGCCAAGCUCCCUCUUAGCACUCAUAGCACCCAGCCCAGGCGCCUGGCUGUCAGCCCAGAUGGGCACCUAAGCUAAGGAAGCUUGGGGGAGGGACGGGGGACCUCGCAGGGCUCCCCGUGGGUCCACUUGGUGGUCCUGCUCCUCCCGACAUGUGGGCACAGGCUGGCCUUCCAGGACUUCCGUGUUUGGCUCCUGGAGGCAGGACCCCUGUCCCCAUCCUGACUCCGGGCACCCAGAGGCAGCCGAGAGCUGGGCAGGGGGAUACCCAACUCCACGGAGAUGCCCAUGGCCUCAGGAAACUCUGUCCCACGCCCUUGGCUUUGAGGUGAGGAUAAGAGAGCCCAGCCCUGGCUCCAGGAUCACCUCCAUAGAGUCCGUCCUGGGUCUCUGAGCCUUCACUUCCUCCUCUGCCAAACGGAUUCUGAUUCUUCCUGGUCAGGCUGCUGACAGGUGAUGCUGGGAGUGAAGGUCACCGCCACAAGGGAGUAAGAGCAUCUCUGGUUAGACUUCCUCUCCCCAGGCCUCAGCCCCUCCAUCCAGGAGCCUGAGCUGGGCCUCUGCUUGGCCGUGAUGCCCUCUCUCUGGAUCCACCCAAUGAGGUCAAGAAGGUGCCCCAGCUCUCCCGGCGAGGGCUGGGAUGUCCUGGGUGGAUGCCCACUCUGGUCAGUUGCCAGCAUCUAGACUCCCCACACACCAGCAACUUCAGGAAGGAGGCACAAGGGCAGACAGGCUCUCAGAUGGGCACAAUUCCAGGGCCGUCAUGGCUUCCGGGAGCUUGAUGGGGCCAGGUUCAAAUCCUGGCUCUUCCACUUGCUACCUGAAUGACCUCAGACAAGUGUGAACCGCAUGUCAGAGCCUUCAUUUCCUCAUCUGUAUUGUAGAGGAUCGAUGUGCCUAUCUCCCAGGGCUGCUGGCAGGAUUAGAUAGGUUGCCCUUCGAACAGUCACCUGGAAGCAGGGGGAGGAGCCUGUUCAUGUUGGGCGUUGACCAACAAGAACCAGCAAGAGAGAUGAAGAUGGAUCUGCCCUCGCACAGCUGCAGCAGACUCGCACACUUGGAGGCAACAUGUGACGUGGAGAGACACACUUUAUGUCCAUGUUGUUGGGGGAGCAGCCUGUGCCGUCCCUCGGUGAGCUGGCAUCCUCCUGGCCCUGCUGAGCAAGUGAGCAGAGAUGCGGGGCCAGCCCGGCUCCCAGCCCUGCUACUCCAGCCUCAUCAGCCCCACUCCCUCUCUGGCCUUGCCUCCCUCCUUCAGCACCACCCCGGACUGCGCCAGCAAACCCCGCUCCAUCCCUCAUCCCUUUAACAUCCCUUGGCCCUUGCGCCAAGCCCUGUGCUCAAGCCAGUGGGUGCAGGUGAAGGAGCUGGGUCCCUGUGCAGGGAGAGACAGAAGCUGUAAGAAGAGGCCAGCAGCCAGACACCCAGCCCCGCCGCUCCCCUGCUGGGUGACCUCGGGCAAGUCACUGCAUUGCUCUGGGCCUGUUUCUUCAUCUGUAAAACGGGAUGAUGCCAACCCUAACCUCCCCCUCGUGGGACCAGUGUGAGUAUUAAAUAUAAGUCAGGGCAGGUGAAGUGUUCAGAAAGCGCUGGGCCCAGCAUGCGGGCUGAGUAGGUGUCACUGUUGGUACCAUCGCUGUCACCCUCGGUGCUGGGACAGUGGGUCCAGAUGAGGAGAAAAUGCUGCUUUAUGCUCAUUACUUCCAUCCUCACAACCCCGCUAGAAGGCCACUGUCAGACCCAGAGAAUAGAAUAGGAAACUGAGGUCACACCAAAGCCACCAGACACUGUGCGUGAAGCCUGUGUUCGACCCACCUAGCCCGGUGAUAAGGAUGGGGCAGGAUGAGGGGGGCAGUGCGCUGUCAGAGAGGGGGCUCCUGGGGGCUCUGCAGGACCCCGUGUCCCUGUGUCCUAGGAGGCCGGCAGCCCUGUGGCCUCAUCUCGGUCAGGACCAGGCCAGCCAUCCUGCCCACUGGUCCUCGGGUUCUGGCCCAACUGUCCCCUCCUCCUCGGAGAGGCCUUUGAGCCUCCCAGGGCACCAGCCCCAAAGGACAGCGCCCUCCAGGCCUUCCUUCCAGGCUGGUGAGACGUGUCUCAGCCGAGGUCAUCUCUGUCAUCACUCAGACCAGACGACGUGGGAGGCAGCCACGAGGAACUCCUGUCCUCUCUCAGAGCCCCCUCCCAGGGCCUCCUGCCCAGGUUUCCCUUUAGACCCAUCUCGAGUCCCCCUGGGUGUCUUGAGUCCCAGGACCCGGCAGGGUGGUGGAUCUCUGACAAGCAGAAACAAAGAGGAGGUGCUGGUAGAAGGAGCCCAGGCCGCCCCGAGGCCUGGGAGCAGCUGGGACCCAGCCUCGUUUCCUCGUCCGUGCAGCGAGAGCCACAGCACCUACAGGAGCCCCAGGGUCCUGAGGGAACCACCUUGAGCCUCAGUCUCCUCAUCUGUAAACCGAGGCUGAUGACUCCAGGCCCAUGUCACAGGACCGCAGAGAGAAAUGCCCGACAUUGGGACUGUGGGGUCACAGGAACGUGCUACCAACCUACACGCAGAGUUCGGAACAGCUGUGUACAGCUGGCUCUCGGGAGCCGGUGAGAGCCACCUCCAUGACACCACAGCUCCCCACAGCCCACCUUUCUUCUCCCCUCACCCACCCCUCUCCUGCCACACCGGCCGUGCUUCUGGUCCCCACACACACCAGGCAUGUUCCUGCCUCAGGGCCUUUGCACGUACUGUGUCCUCCACCCGGAUGCUCUUCCUCUGGUUGUGGCAUGGCUGGCCUUGUCUUGCCUUCCAAGUCUCAGCUCAAAUGUCACCUUCUCCAAGAAGCCUGCCCUGACCACCUUGGUAAUAUUGCUCUCCCUCCCUGACCCACACACCCCUGCCACUCGUGAUUUUAUGCCGUCUUAUUUCUAUCAAGGCACUCGACGCUACUUGUGUGACACACGUUUCUCUGUCAUGUGUUUUUAUCUGUUCAUUAUCUGUCUAGCCUCCCACAGUGUUUGCUCCAUCGAAGCCAGGCCUCCUCGGCUCGGUCAUUGCUGUGUCCCUUUUGCUUAUAGCACAGUGCCUGGCUCAUGAUUCCUGACAGCGGGAGCGGGGAGGACGAGGAGGAGGCAGAACAGGAAAAUAUUUUGAAGGCUGGUCUCUAAGUGGCUUUAGGAACCACUAAGCCAGAAUGGCCUGGACAAGGUCAGCUGGUUUGGUGCCCACCUUCCCGCCCAUCGCUGGGCCACAGACUGUCACACAGGUCAGAGCCCCCCAGUCCUCUGCCCUUUCCUGAACCAUCUGGAAGCUGGAAAGUCACUGUCCUGACACAGGUCACAACAUCCGAGCACCUUCCCCAGACAGACCCCAGGCUGGGCACCGAGGAAGGGUUGCUUGCACCUGAGCUGGGCCUGAGCUGGGCCUGAGCUGGGCCUUGAAGGAGAAGCAAAGUCCACCACUCCCUGCAGGGAGCUGUGGGCAGACACACCCCAAAAAACAAAUACACUGCGAUGGGCGCCAGGACAAGCCACCGAGAGCAGCAGGACAGCCAGUGGCCUGAGGGCAGGGGUGGGCGCCACCUGCUGGUCACAGAUGAGAAGUGCACCUGGUGCCCACUUGGUCCUUCUGGAGGAGCCCGUGCUCCGGACUCUGAAGCCCUGGGCGGUGACUCCUGGGCUCCCACCCGAGGCACAACAUCCUCCUCCCCACGAGUUUCUCCAAAUAGCUGCUUCACGUGCUUUUCAUAGACGUGAUGUUUUUACAUGUCAGAAGUGUGUCAGAUACUCUAUAAAUCUUCAUAAACUCCCCAAACGUGGUACAGGGCUGGCCCCUGUGCUAGGCACUGGUGACAUGGUGACCAGCCAGAUAGCCAUGGUCCCUGCGGGCUCUGAGGGCAGGAGGCCAAUACUAAACACUGUCACAAAGGGCCCAUUUAGUGACAAGCGUAAUCACGGCUAACGGGGAAGCGGAGAGGGGAACGUUGCGUCACUUGCCCCCUCGCCAGCUCUGCAAGGACGGAUGUGACUGCUGCUUUACAGACGAGGCUCAGAGAGGUGGAGUGGUCCACGCGGCAGGAGGAGAUGCAGCUCAGACAGGGACCCAGGGCUGCCAGGCCACCGGAGGCGGGAGGGUGCAGGCUCCCCCGCAGGCCCACUGCCAGGCUGCAGAAAUGGUCCCCAACUCCCUUCCUAACAAGGCCCAGAGAGCAGCUGUGUCUCCAAAGCCUGGUUUCAAUGGGUUUCUGCCAUCGCUAGGACUAAGACCUGGCCCCCUGCAAGAGCUGCGCUCUUCUCCCGUCUAAAGGGACAAGUAGACAGAACCCCGAGUCCUCACAUGCCGUCAGCCAGACCUUCUCCCCUCCCCCCACCUCCUUUCGUCUAAUGAUCCCACCAUCCUUCAGGAGAGAAGAGGGCCCUGCAGUAAGAUGUGGCCGUCCCUGGGCCACCUGGGAAUUGCCAUCUCUUUCCCGGCCUCAGUUUCCCCUCCUGUCUACUGAGAGGUCAGAUUGACUCCUCUGAAGACCUCGGUUGAUCUGAAGUGUUAAAAUCCUCUUCGCCAGCCUUCCUCCUCCCUUCGUCAGCAAGCACAGAGACGCACAGACCUCUCAGUGAUGCUGGGCAUCCUCAGUUUCCACAGGGUGACUCGUCUUGGGAGACCAAAGCCAAAAUGGUUUGGAGACGGUACAGGCAAACUGGACUCCCUGCCACAUGGCGGCUCAGGGAUGCGGCAGUCAGGACAGCCUUGCCUCCCUCUGGGUCAGUGACGCAACCCGCCAGCCGCCGGAGGGCUUGAUGGGCCAGGCUCCCGGGCAGGUCCCCUCCCUCUCUGAAUUUUGGCCCCUCACACCAUUUGCAGACGCUCUUUGAGCUGGUAUCUGAAGCCCCCUUGAGGGUAAAUCAUGCAGUUCUCUACAAAUGUGGUGGGAGGGGGCAGGCUGGAACCCAGCUCCUGAUCCUGGCGCCCCUGUUUUAAUAGCUGAGAGCCCUUGGGCAGGUUCCCAAAAAUGUCCACUGGUGUCCCAUCUCAUCACUGGUCAAACGAGGAUGAUGGCAGUGUCUGGCCCCUGCGGUGGAAGGACCAGGUGAGAUGACCCUGUACACAGAGGGCAGGGCACCUGGGCAUCAUUAGUGCUCACCAAGAGUUAGUCUGAUGGUGAGUGUUGCCCAGGCCGGCCUGUGUUGGUCUCCCCAGACGUGCAAUGAAGACUGGAUGGGCAAACAUUGAUUGCACACACCUUGCACAAUCACCUUGCACAACCCUUGACACUUUUACAUCCGUCAUCUCACCUAACCCUAGCAAAACCCACUUCCAUCCCCAUUUUUCAGUUGGGGAAACUGAGGCCCAGAGAGGGAGAGGGACGUUCCCGGGGUCACACUGUGCUGGGGUAGUGCUGGAUUCAAACCUGGAAGCUCUAGAAUCAAGCCCUGGUCGCUGGGGAAUGUCAGCAUCAACUCACCAGGGGAGCAGCCUGACCCUGGACCCGGGUCCUGGUGGAAAAUCAGAGAUCCCCUGAUCAGCAUCACACGUGCACCUUCUCACUGCGGCCACAGGGGGGCAGCAGCGUCCCGGCCAUCGCUGUGCAGCGGCUCUCCCACCUCCGCCCCGCCUGGAGCACAGCGUCAGCCGGCAGGGGAACCCAGACUGCCCAGGACCAGGCACAGGAGAAGCCUACAGCUUUGUUUAAUCUACACAGAGUCUUUCAAAAAAGUAUAACUGGUUGCUGGAAUUUAAAAAUCAGAAGAUUUCAUACCCAAAUCCAGAUUUCUAGGCUUUCUGGAAAAACCCAGAAAAUCUGUCAACCCUGGGAGCCCACUCUAGCUGCCUGGAAGCCACGAGCUAGACUGGACAGCUUCAUCCCCAUGGGCACUUCUGUCCCCUCCCCACACACACUCAUUAAUGUGGCCCCUGGGCUUCAGGAGGCAUUUGUGGUUGAGACCCUGGGGGCUCCCCAGCGGUGCUGUCCUGUGAGUGAGCUUCGCAACCUGAGCACUAUGGACACUGAGCAUCAGAUAACGCUUUGGUGUCUGGGGACUGUCCUGCAUGCUGAAAGGUGUCAGCAGCACCCACACCCCCAAGUUAUAACAACCAAAACUGUCUCCAGACAUUGCCCAUGUCCCUGGGGACACUGCCUCGAGCCUUUGAAAGCGGGAGAAGGCAUGGGUUGCCUCCAGGCGCAGAACCAGCAAACACUGCCAGCACCCCUCUGGGAAGGUCCCUGAGCUACAGGGCCACCCCAGGGCCCGAGCUGGACCAGUGCCCUUCCAUCCUCCUAACUCCGGGGUCUGGAGGUGUAGGGUGGGGUUGCAGCAGAGCGUGCCUAAUACUGGGGUAGAGGGACACAGCAUGGGGUGGGGGUCACUGAGCCCACCCCAUACCCAGGCAAGGGCACCAGGAGACAGUUCCGUGAUACAGACAGAUGGACCAGCUUAGAGCAAAGGACAGCAGUGGCUGGAGAGGUUCCCACAGUUCAGUGUUGCUAGGGACAUCCAUGGGCUACUCACCCUGGAAGUCCUGAGGGCAGCCUCCCCAACUCGGAACCUUCUCCUGCCAGUCACACAGCACCCCCACCAUCGACACUGCAGGAGCCACCCUGCUCCAGCUCACUGCAGGCCCGACCCCUGCCCCACACCCCCCAGCACCAUGAGCUCCAGGACAGGCUGGGGCCUGUCCUCCCCCAAGAGGACACUAAAAGUCUGACGGAGGAGCUGGCCUUCCGUGACCUAGCCUUUCCUUGGGCCCUAGCUCCCAAGGAAGCAACUGCCACCAACAAGCCCCCACAUUCCACCCCUGGGGCCUAAGGCCGGCCUUCAGGAGUCCAGACAGGGUCUUCCAGGCCAGCAGACACCACACACCCCAGUGAAAGGGAGGGAAAGUAUGAACAGUCCCAGGAGGUCCCUUCUGUGGCCGAGGAUUGGGGAAACUCAAGGUCAGUGGCCUGGUGAUCAUGGUCAAGGCCCAGCCAGGAGGUCUGAGACCUGACCCCGAUCACGGCUCUGGUGUUGGGGAAGCAGAAGGAAGAAUGGUCGGACCACAUGCUGCCCCACAGCCCAGGACCAGGAGCGGGCUCCACUCACCCCAAAGCAGCAAGACACAGGCUAUGGUGGAGAACACUUAGGCUCAGAGAAACCAAGUAAUGUGGCCAAGGACACACAGCAAAGAAAAUGUUGGAACCCAGGCUGGAACCAUGGUGGACCCAGCUCCUAGUCCAGUGAAGCUUGCUCCACACUUCACUUGUACUGUCGUCAUCUGAUUACCAAGCUUACGCUAACCUGAUAAAGUCAGUUAAGAGUGUUGACUGCUUCUCCACCCUGGAGUCGAAAUUUGGGGUGACAUUGACUCUUCAUUCUUUCCUACACUCUGGACACAGCCCUUUGGACACUAACUCUGAAGGGGUCUCCUGGCCCCCCCAGGCGUGGCGCC